GAUGAAGAACGUAGUGAAAUGCGAUAAGUAGUGUGAAUUGCAGAAUUCAGUGAAUCAUCGAAUCUUUGAACGCACAUUGCGCCCCUUGGUAUUCCAUGGGGCAUGCCUGUUCGAGCGUCAUUUGUACCUUCAAGCUUUGCUUGGUGUUGGGUGUUUGUCCUGAGGGACUCGCCUUAAAGUAAUUGGCAGCCAGUGUUUGGUUUUGAAGCGCAGCACAAGUCGCGAUUCAAGGCUAUACACCAGCUUCCACAAGCCUUUUUCACUUUUGACCUCGGAUCAGGUAGGGAUACCCGCUGAACUUAAGCAUAUCAUAAGCGGAGGA
This 322-nucleotide unclassified non-coding RNA is filed under the name soil metagenome. RNAcentral's name for it is "partial contains 5.8S ribosomal RNA, internal transcribed spacer 2, and large subunit ribosomal RNA". The stretch from base 1 to 120 matches the Rfam family "5.8S ribosomal RNA", at positions 35 to 154 of the family's 154-position model. The record is from RNAcentral.